Molecule: ribosomal RNA, 424 nt
Filed under: uncultured bacterium
Lineage: Bacteria
Description: partial 16S ribosomal RNA
Rfam family: Bacterial small subunit ribosomal RNA
Source: RNAcentral
AAUUCUGGACAAUGGGGGAAACCCUGUUCCAGCCAUCCCGCGCGCAUGAUGACGGCCUUCGGCUCGUCAAGUACUCUUGGCACACAACAAACGUUAUCCCCUAAUACGUGAUACUGCUGACGGUAUCUGCAGAAUAAGCCCCGUCUAACUACGUGCCAGCAGCCGCGGUAAUACGUAGGGUGCAAGCGUUAAUCGGAAUUACUGGGCGUAAAGCGUGUGUAGGCGGUUCGGAAAGAAAGAUGUGAAAUCCCAGGGCUCAACCUUGGAACUGCAUUUUUAACUGCCGAGCUAGAGUAUGUCAGAGGGGGGUAGAAUUCCACGUGUAGCAGUGAAAUGCGUAGAUAUGUGGAGGAAUACCGAUGGCGAAGGCAGCCCCCUGGGAUAAUACUGACGCUCAGACACGAAAGCGUGGGGAGCAAACAGG